RNAcentral lists this ribosomal RNA (229 nucleotides) under uncultured bacterium. RNAcentral's name for it is "partial 16S ribosomal RNA". It matches the Rfam family "Bacterial small subunit ribosomal RNA", at positions 568 to 796 of the family's 1533-position model. The record is from RNAcentral.
UACGUAGGCGGAAUAUUAAGUCAGUGGUGAAAUCCUGCGGCUCAACCGUAGAACUGCCAUUGAUACUGAUAUUCUUGAAUAUAGUUGAGGUAGGCGGAAUGUGUAACGUAGCGGUGAAAUGCUUAGAUAUUACACAGAACACCGAUUGCGAAGGCAGCUUACUAAACUAUUAUUGACGCUGAUGUACGAAAGCGUGGGGAGCGAACAGGAUUAGAUACCCUGGUAGUCC